GAUGAACGCUAGCGGCAGGCCUAACACAUGCAAGUCGAGGGGCAGCACAGAAACAGCAAUGUUUUGGUGGCGACCGGCGGACGGGUGCGUAACGCGUAUGCAACCUACAUUUAACAGGGGGAGAACGGAGAGAAAUGUCCACUAAUACCCCAUAACAUCGAUCAAGGCAUCUUGAUUGGUUGAAAACUCAGGUGGUUAAAGAUGGGCAUGCGUUGUAUUAGGUAGUUGGUGAGGUAAUGGCUCACCAAGCCUACGAUACAUAGGGGGACUGAGAGGUUAGCCCCCCACACUGGUACUGAGACACGGACCAGACUCCUACGGGAGGCAGCAGUGAGGAAUAUUGGUCAAUGGGGGCAACCCUGAACCAGCCAUGCCGCGUGCAGGAAGACGGCUCUAUGAGUUGUAAACUGCUUUUAAACAGGGAUAAAGCACAGUAUGUAUACUGUGUUGAAGGUACUGUAAGAAUAAGGAUCGGCUAACUCCGUGCCAGCCGCCGCCGUAA
This 502-nucleotide ribosomal RNA is filed under the name uncultured bacterium. RNAcentral's name for it is "partial 16S ribosomal RNA". It matches the Rfam family "Bacterial small subunit ribosomal RNA", at positions 28 to 523 of the family's 1533-position model. The record is from RNAcentral.